UCGUAACAAGGUCUCCGUUGGUGAACCAGCGGAGGGAUCAUUACAGAGUUACCUAACUCCAAACCCAUGUGAACUUACCUAUGUUGCCUCGGCGGGGAAGCCUACCCGGUACCUACCCUGUAGCUACCCGGGAGCGAGCUACCCUGUAGCCCGCUGCAGGCCUACCCGCCGGCGGACACUUAAACUCUUGUUUUUUAGUGAUUAUCUGAGUGUUUAUACUUAAUAAGUUAAAACUUUCAACAACGGAUCUCUUGGUUCUGGCAUCGAUGAAGAACGCAGCGAAAUGCGAUAAGUAAUGUGAAUUGCAGAAUUCAGUGAAUCAUCGAAUCUUUGAACGCACAUUGCGCCCAUUAGUAUUCUAGUGGGCAUGCCUGUUCGAGCGUCAUUUCAACCCUCAAGCCCUAGCUGCUUGGUGUUGGGAGCCUAUCUCCGGAUAACUCCUCAAAAGCAUUGGCGGAGUCGCGGUGACCCCAAGCGUAGUAAUUUUUCCUCGCUUUAGGUGUUCACGGCUGACGUCCUGCCGUUAAACCCCCAAUUUUUUAAUGGU
This 547-nucleotide ribosomal RNA is filed under the name Eutypa lata. RNAcentral describes it as "eukaryotic LSU rRNA". The stretch from base 232 to 385 matches the Rfam family "5.8S ribosomal RNA". The record is from RNAcentral. Lineage: Eukaryota; Fungi; Ascomycota; Sordariomycetes; Xylariales; Diatrypaceae.